Molecule: ribosomal RNA, 467 nt
Filed under: uncultured bacterium
Lineage: Bacteria
Description: bacterial SSU rRNA
Rfam family: Bacterial small subunit ribosomal RNA
Source: RNAcentral
GACCAGACUCCUACGGGAGGCAGCAGUGAGGAAUAUUGGUCAAUGGUCGGGAGACUGAACCAGCCAAGCCGCGUGAGGGAUGAAGGUACAGAGUAUCGUAAACCUCUUUUGUCGGAGAACAAAACCCGGGACGUGUCCCGGACUGCGUGUAUCCGAAGAAAAAGCAUUGGCUAACUCCGUGCCAGCAGCCGCGGUAAUACGGAGGAUGCGAGCGUUAUCCGGAUUUAUUGGGUUUAAAGGGUGCGUAGGCGGUCCGUUAAGUCAGCGGUAAAAUUGCGGGGCUCAACCCCGUCGAGCCGUUGAAACUGGCAGUCUCGAGUUGGAGAGAAGUAUGCGGAAUGCGCGGUGUAGCGGUGAAAUGCAUAGAUAUCGCGCAGAACUCCGAUUGCGAAGGCAGCAUGCCGGCUCCACACUGACGCUGAGGCACGAAAGCGUGGGUAUCGAACAGGAUUAGAUACCCGAGUACA